Molecule: long non-coding RNA, 947 nt
Organism: Magnolia sinica
Lineage: Eukaryota; Viridiplantae; Streptophyta; Magnoliopsida; Magnoliales; Magnoliaceae
Exons: 3
Source: RefSeq, a predicted model, not a curated record
UCUAUAGAGUUUUUCAGCGGUAGUGGGUCCGAAUGGAAGUGGUAAAAGCAACAUCAUAGAUGCAAUGCUCUUUGUAUUUGGGAAACGAGCUAAGCAGGUAAGCUCCAUUUAUAUGUGGGAAUCUAAUCAGGGUCGACAUUGUUGGUUUAUCUAGUGCUUAGAAACCUGUAGAAUGGACUAGUUUAACGAGUUUUAGAAUCUGAUAAGACUUCACAUUGUUGACUUGGUUUGAGUUAAGGAGGUAACUUGAUAUUUUACUUUGAGACAAGUUAGUAAUCAUCCAAUGAUUGUUGCAUGCCACUGUGAAUGUAAAGGGUGAAAAUUUUAGGGAGACAGUAAUCUAAAAAGCAAAUUUUGGGGUCGUUCAAUCCAGCUUGAUCCUAUUGGUCUUGUAACUCUUGAGUUUGAUGAUGGUGAAGUUUUUCAGUGGAGCAAGGUCACAGCUUUUGUGUUCUACCAAUCACCAAUCACCAAAACUCAGACAGUGCAGGCGUUUCUGUUUCCAUUCAGGAGAUAAUUAAUAUGGAUGAUGGAACAUAUGAAGCUAUUGCAAGAAGUGACUUUGUCAUUACUAGAGUUGUAUUUCGAGACAACUCUUCAAAGUACUACAUAAAUGACCAUGGAAGUAAUUUUACAGAGGUCACUAAAAAAUUAAAAGGAAAAUGAGUGGACUUGGACAACAAUCGGUUUCUGAUUCUUCAAGUAGGUGAUGGGCUAAUGGCUGAAAAGGGCCUAUUUACUUGUGAAAAAAUACCAUACCAUCAAAAUCUAUCUUCUCUUUCAUUCUUUAUCAUGAAAAUUUUAGGGUGAAGUUGAGCAAAUUUCUCUAAUGAAGCCAAAGGCCAGGAUGAAGGAUGUACCUGGCCAUAUGAGAGUGCACACCGACUCACCAAGAUUUGUAUUUUCAGCAUUAUUGUAAUUGUAAUUGAUUGAAUGAAGGAUUGUAA